Long non-coding RNA from Eriocheir sinensis (Chinese mitten crab), 512 nucleotides. RefSeq lists it as uncharacterized. The transcript is spliced from 3 exons. The record is from RefSeq and is a predicted model, not a curated record. NCBI's taxonomy places the organism in Eukaryota, Metazoa, Arthropoda, Malacostraca, Decapoda, Varunidae.
GAAAAGAGUUACACAGAAGAAGGUAUUGAAAAGAGUUACACAGAAGAAGGUAUUGAAAAGAGUUACACAGAAGAAGGUAUUGAAAAGAGUUACACAGAAGAAGGUAUUGAAAAGAGUUACACAGAAGAAGGUAUUGAAAAGAGUUACACAGAAGAAGGUAUUGAAAAGAGUUACACAGAAGAAGGUAUUGAAAAGAGUUACACAGAAGAAGGUAUUGAAAAGAGUUACACAGAAGAAGGUAUUGAAAAGAGUUACACAGAAGAAGGUAUUGAAAAGAGUUACACAGAAGAAGGUAUUGAAAAGAGUAACACAAGAAGAAGGAAUUUGAAGAUAAAUAACACAAGAAGAAGAAAUGUGAAGUAACACCGGAAGGAAAAUGCAGAGAAGUAACACUAGAAAAAUGAAAAUGGAAAUGAAAAGAAUCAUCCACCUUUCGGCCCAAACCAACAUCACAAAAUUAUGGGCGAGUCUCUUCUGGGAGGAAAGCGGCUCGUUCAGACCCAGGAACACCA